Molecule: ribosomal RNA, 160 nt
Filed under: uncultured soil bacterium
Lineage: Bacteria
Description: partial 16S ribosomal RNA
Rfam family: Bacterial small subunit ribosomal RNA
Source: RNAcentral
AGAACGAACGCUGGCGGCAUGCCUAAUACAUGCAAGUCGAACGAAGGCUUCGGCCUUAGUGGCGCACGGGUGCGUAACGCGUGGGAAUCUGCCCCUUGGUUCGGAAUAACAGUUGGAAACGACUGCUAAUACCGGAUGAUGACGAAAGUCCAAAGAUUUA